GGCAACCUGCCCUUUAGACGGGGACAACAUUCCGAACGGAGUGCUAAUACCGGAUGUGAUCAUCGUGCCGCAUGGCAGGAUGAAGAAAGAUGGCCUCUACAAGUAAGCUAUCGCUAAAGGAUGGGCCUGCGUCUGAUUAGCUAGUUGGUAGUGUAACGGACUACCAAGGCGAUGAUCAGUAGCCGGUCUGAGAGGAUGAACGGCCACAUUGGGACUGAGACACGGCCCAAACUCCUACGGGAGGCAGCAGUGGGGAAUCUUCCGCAAUGGACGAAAGUCUGACGGAGCAACGCCGCGUGAGUGAUGAAGGAUUUCGGUCUGUAAAACUCUGUUGUUUAUGACGAACGUGCAGUGUGUGAACAAUGCAUUGCAAUGACGGUAGUAAACGAGGAAGCCACGGCUAACUACGUGCCAGCAGCCGCGGUAAUACGUAGGUGGCGAGCGUUGUCCGGAAUUAUUGGGCGUAAAGAGCAUGUAGGCGGCUUAAUAAGUCGAGCGUGAAAAUGCGGGGCUCAACCCCGUAUGGCGCUGGAAACUGUUAGGCUUGAGUGCAGGAGAGGAAAGGGGAAUUCCCAGUGUAGCGGUGAAAUGCGUAGAUAUUGGGAGGAACACCAGUGGCGAAGGCGCCUUUCUGGACUGUGUCUGACGCUGAGAUGCGAAAGCCAGGGUAGCGAACG
RNAcentral lists this ribosomal RNA (677 nucleotides) under uncultured bacterium. RNAcentral describes it as "bacterial SSU rRNA". It matches the Rfam family "Bacterial small subunit ribosomal RNA", at positions 120 to 774 of the family's 1533-position model. The record is from RNAcentral.